This is a non-coding RNA of Alligator sinensis (Chinese alligator), 1323 nucleotides long. Lineage: Eukaryota; Metazoa; Chordata; Crocodylia; Alligatoridae. The record is from the annotation of a RefSeq genome assembly.
UGGGGCAUGGGUCCAGUAUGUCCUCCUCAAAGUGGCCAAACAGGCCAUAGGGGAGCGAGUGUCCCUGGAGAUCGGGGUGUGUGAUGAGCCAGGGCCAGCUCCUCUCAGACCUCCUGUGGUCAGACCCCCAGGCUGGGCAGUCUCCUACUCCGUCUCAGAGGUGCAGGGGCCGGAGCGGUGCCUGCUGGGCGGGGAGGUGACCCUGCGCUGCUCCAUGGAGGGGACAUUCCCCGAGGACGUGGCCGUGACAUGGGAGAGGAUCCACAGCGAGGACAGGACGGUGCCUGAGAGCACUAGGGAUGAAGAGAACCCCGAGCACCAGUCGCUGUUACCUGCCCUCCCCCAGGGCUGGACAGUGAAAAAGGACAGAGCUGGGGCCCGCCUCACGUCCUCCCUGACCUUCACCCCCACAGUGCAGGACGAUGGGGCGCGGGUCCGGUGCUGCUUCCUCCAUGAGACUGAAUGUAUAAGAGAGGAGCGAGUGUCCCCGGAGAUCCGGGUGUGGGCCCGGCUGCAGGUGUCCGAGAUCCAGGUGUUGCCAGAGUGGGACCCCCGCGACAAGGUGCCGUUUGCUGGCCAGCUACACAACUUCUACCCCAGGGAGGUGCCCCCGAUCCAGUGGGGCUGGGACGGGGCCGGGAGCUGGAGGGAAGACCCCGCGCAGAUAGACAAGAACGCGGACGGCACGUUCACCGCGACGAGCGUCUGGAGAGUGCCCAGCCGGAGCCUGACCCGGCCGGAGCUGCGAGUGCGAGUGUGCGUCCAGCACGGCCCCGGAGAGCCCCCGAGCGAGAGAGAGCUCAGCCUGAGGGCCGCGGGUCUCCUGCAGCCCCCGCAGGUGUCCAAAAUCUCCCGGACCAAGUCCAUGACCACAGGGAAGGGGGUCACCCUGAGCUGCCGCAUCGCGGGGCAUUUCCCAGGGGAUCUGAGCGUGACCUGGCUGCGGAGGGGCAAGGGGGAGGCCACUGCUGUGAUCCUGCGGGACUCGGCUGAGUACAGGGUGGAGCCCGGCACAGUUGUCUUAGCACGGGACGGGAAGAGCUUCCGGCAGGAGACAAGUCUAACCCGCUGGACGUCCAGGGACCAGGGGACAGAGUACAUCUGCCGCGUGGGACACCUUGCCCUGAAGACCCCCAUCGAGAGGAGCAGCAGUCCAUCAGAGCCCUCCAGAGCCUCCAAGACCUGAGGAGAGAGGAGGCAGGCGAAGACAGAGCAACACGGGGUCAUUCAGAGUCCACCAGAAUGUGAUAGAGUUAAGGAGGAAGGUGCUGGCUGAGGACGGAGGCAGGGUUGCAUCUUGCACCCACCUGGGAAACACCACAG